CCAUGCACAUUAUCUACAAAACAAAUAUAAGAAGACUCUGAAAGAUGGAGAAGAAGGCAGACCAGCUGGGGACAUGACGGGCUAAGGAAAAAACAGUGCAAGGGAAUGGGGCCGUAUUGGUGUGCAUCCCUAAUGCCUAGCACAGAGCCCAGCAUCCAAGAGGUACUCAUGUAUUUGUGGAAUAAAUCAAUGAAUGAAAGAACUCCCCAUCCAAUACCUUUUACUGUGGGACUACACCCCUAUGGACUGGAGCACAGAAUGGCUUAAAGGUGGGGAAAAGAAUGGUUUACAGGUGGCAAAGCAGAGGACCAGGGCUUAAAGAAAACAAACAGAAAAUGGCUACGAGGGAGUUGGGAGUGUUUCAGAACCAAAUCUCUGCCUCUUUCAGUUUCUGCCUAUCAAGCCCCAAACAUGGAACAGCCCGUAGUUCAACGUGUCAACAUGUGACUAUUGAAUCUGGAAACUCAAACACAUACUUUCGUUUCUGGUAAGGCUACACUCCUAUUUGAGGCUUAUCUUGUAAUGCUUGAGCCACCACAAUGUAACUGAAGUAGGAAAGCGUCUCAUUUCAGAACCACAAGCAAACACUGACACACAUCGUCCUUUACACCAAAGGGCUGUGGAUCUGGAGCUCCCAUGGCCUGUGAUUGUGCCCCACCACCGUUUGAAGCCUGGAGCAACAUACCUCAAAUCCAGCUUUAGAUCCAGGUGAAGGCUCUGGAAAAUAUAAUUCCAUGGACACUUUCAGUU
This 750-nucleotide long non-coding RNA is filed under the name Pan troglodytes (chimpanzee). Its description in RNAcentral is "long non-coding RNA NONPTRT014946". The record is from RNAcentral. Lineage: Eukaryota; Metazoa; Chordata; Mammalia; Primates; Hominidae.